This 450-nucleotide ribosomal RNA is filed under the name uncultured bacterium. RNAcentral describes it as "partial 16S ribosomal RNA". It matches the Rfam family "Bacterial small subunit ribosomal RNA", at positions 354 to 796 of the family's 1533-position model. The record is from RNAcentral.
GUGGGGAAUAUUGGACAAUGGGCGAAAGCCUGAUCCAGCCAUGCCGCGUGUGUGAAGAAGGUCUUCGGAUUGUAAAGCACUUUAAGUUGGGAGGAAGGGCAGUAAGUUAAUACCUUGCUGUUUUGACGUUACCGACAGAAUAAGCACCGGCUAACUUCGUGCCAGCAGCCGCGGUAAUACGAAGGGUGCAAGCGUUAAUCGGAAUUACUGGGCGUAAAGCGCGCGUAGGUGGUUUUGUAAGUUGGAGGUGAAAUCCCCGGGCUCAACCUGGGAACUGACUCCAAAACUGCAUGACUAGAGUACGGUAGAGGGUAGUGGAAUUUCCUGUGUAGCGGUGAAAUGCGUAGAUAUAGGAAGGAACACCAGUGGCGAAGGCGACUACCUGGACUGAUACUGACACUGAGGUGCGAAAGCGUGGGGAGCAAACAGGAUUAGAAACCCCGGUAGUCC